CUGGACCAUUAUUAAAUUCACACACAUUUAUAAAUAUCUCAUUUUUUUAAUUCAUGAACGUUUCAUCAGAUUCUUUAAUGAGGUUUGAAUUUCAUUAAAAAAAUGAAAUCAGGAAAAGAGGUAAAGACUGAAAUACAAAGAAAAAUAAAAGCAAAUGAAAGAAAGGGUGCCCGGCACAUCCAGGAGAGUGACACUUCAACUAUUUCAAUUGGCCCGUUCCUGCAUAUGAAUUUGACUCAUUUUUCGAUUGUCUGGUCUAAUUUUGAGGGCCGCUGAUACGUCUGGCUUCACGCGAGAUGAAACGGGACCUCGCAUCAAAUAGGGCCCAUAAUGGGCUAACCCAACGAGGACUGCAGGCAUUCAUCGUUUUUUUUAGGUAUCAUUUUUGCUUUUUACUUUUUUGCCUUGUAUUUUGCUUGUGUUUUGUAAUCUUCUAGCGCCCCCUCCCAUGUUUCUAAAUAUAGUAAUUUUUGAAGAUUACACUAUGAACUACAUAUAAAGAAAAAUGAGUGAAUCUAUACUUUAAAGUAUGUCUAUUUAUACAUUCAGUGGCGGUGCCCAGAAUCAGAAGCUAUGAUGUCAUCUCAAAUUUGUGAUAUUAAAUACAUGUGUUUUCACUGAAUUUAAUUAAAAUAUACAUGAUUUCUACUGGUGUACAAAGGAUUUGCCAAAUGCCUGUGUGGUCAAUUGACCACACUUCUCUCAACGUGGCUUAGCCACUGUAUACAUCCGUAUGUAGUUUAUUGUAAAAUAUAAAAAAAAUCUUAUAUUUAGAAAAGGAGGGAGUAGUUAUAUUUAUUAUACAAACCACUUUACAUACAUAACUGAAAAAUGAUAAACACGCAUUUGAACAUGUUAAAUAUGUAUAGUGAAAAUGUUUAUCACGUAUAUGAAGAAUGUUUUUAAAAAGUGUGAAUGCAACAACUUAAUCUUGUAUUAUAAAAUGUUAAGUCAGUCAUUUGAAUUAAAUAUUGAACAAGUGUUUUAAAAAUAUUAGUCAAGCAUUUGGAAAAUGUUAAGUACGUAUAGAAAAAAUGUCGACCAUGUAGUAAGAAAAUGAUGAAAAAAAUGACAUGUAUAUAAAAAUGUUA
RNAcentral lists this long non-coding RNA (1091 nucleotides) under Hordeum vulgare. RNAcentral describes it as "long non-coding RNA (HVUL_LNC014874)". Lineage: Eukaryota; Viridiplantae; Streptophyta; Magnoliopsida; Poales; Poaceae. The record is from RNAcentral.